GCAAAGUUUUAUUUUUGUUUAGAAAAUUGGAUUAAAUUUUGUAUUUAUAUGUAAAUUUUUUUGUGUAAAAUUUUAAUUUUUUUUUUAAAAAAAAAAGUAUAUUUUUUAAAAAUUCGCAGUAAAUAAUUUUAAAAAUUAAUGAAAAUUAGAUUUAGUAAAAAUUUUAAGUAUUAACAAAUUUUGUGCCAGCAGUUGCGGUUACACAAAUAAUACAAUUUAAUUUUUUUUAGUAUUAAUAUAUUUUUAAUAUAAAAUUUUAACUGAAGGUUUAUAAGGUGAAAUUUUUAAAUUUUUAAAAAAAUUUUUAUUUGAUGAUUAUUUAAUAAAUUUGUUAUUAGACUAGGAUUAGAUACCCUAUUAUUACAAAUGUAAAUUUAAACUAGAUUAGUAAUAGUUAUGUUCUUGAAAAUUAAAAAAUUUGGCGGUUUUUUAGUCUAUUCAGAGGAAUCUGUCCCAUAAUCGAUAAUCCACGAUUUAAUUAACUUUUAUUAAUAGUUUGUAUAUCGUCGUAGUUUGAAUAUUUUAGAAGAAUUUAAAUAUUCAUAAUUUUUUUAAAAAAAGUAAAUCAGAUCAAGAUAUAGCUUAUAUAAAGGGGGAGAUGGAUUACAUUAAUUUUAAUUUAGGAUUGGUAAUUGAAAAUUAUUAUAAAUAAGGAUUUGAAAGUAAUUUUUUAAAAAUUAUAAAGUGAUUUUAGCUCUAAAAUAUGCACAUAUCGCCCGUCGCUUUCACCUUAAAGUGAAAUAAGUCGUAACAAAGUAGGCUUACUGGAAAGUGAGCCUAGAAAG
RNAcentral lists this non-coding RNA (785 nucleotides) under Pseudoechthistatus chiangshunani. The record is from RNAcentral. Lineage: Eukaryota; Metazoa; Arthropoda; Insecta; Coleoptera; Cerambycidae.